This 2923-nucleotide ribosomal RNA is filed under the name Klebsiella pneumoniae. RNAcentral's name for it is "23S ribosomal RNA". It matches the Rfam family "Bacterial large subunit ribosomal RNA". Lineage: Bacteria; Pseudomonadati; Pseudomonadota; Gammaproteobacteria; Enterobacterales; Enterobacteriaceae. The record is from RNAcentral.
GGGUUGUGAGGUUAAGCGACUAAGCGUACACGGUGGAUGCCCUGGCAGUCAGAGGCGAUGAAGGACGUGCUAAUCUGCGAAAAGCGUCGGUAAGGUGAUAUGAACCGUUAUAACCGGCGAUGUCCGAAUGGGGAAACCCAGUGCAAUUCGUUGCACUAUCGUUAACUGAAUACAUAGGUUAACGAGGCGAACCGGGGGAACUGAAACAUCUAAGUACCCCGAGGAAAAGAAAUCAACCGAGAUUCCCCCAGUAGCGGCGAGCGAACGGGGAGCAGCCCAGAGUCUGAAUCAGCUUGUGUGUUAGUGGAACGGUCUGGAAAGUCCGACGGUACAGGGUGAUAGUCCCGUACACCAAAAUGCACAGGCUGUGAACUCGAAGAGUAGGGCGGGACACGUGGUAUCCUGUCUGAAUAUGGGGGGACCAUCCUCCAAGGCUAAAUACUCCUGACUGACCGAUAGUGAACCAGUACCGUGAGGGAAAGGCGAAAAGAACCCCGGCGAGGGGAGUGAAAAAGAACCUGAAACCGUGUACGUACAAGCAGUGGGAGCACCUUCGGGUGUGACUGCGUACCUUUUGUAUAAUGGGUCAGCGACUUAUAUUCUGUAGCAAGGUUAACCGUAUAGGGGAGCCGCAGGGAAACCGAGUCUUAACUGGGCGUUAAGUUGCAGGGUAUAGACCCGAAACCCGGUGAUCUAGCCAUGGGCAGGUUGAAGGUUGGGUAACACUAACUGGAGGACCGAACCGACUAAUGUUGAAAAAUUAGCGGAUGACUUGUGGCUGGGGGUGAAAGGCCAAUCAAACCGGGAGAUAGCUGGUUCUCCCCGAAAGCUAUUUAGGUAGCGCCUCGUGAAUUCAUCUUCGGGGGUAGAGCACUGUUUCGGCUAGGGGGUCAUCCCGACUUACCAACCCGAUGCAAACUACGAAUACCGAAGAAUGUUAUCACGGGAGACACACGGCGGGUGCUAACGUCCGUCGUGAAGAGGGAAACAACCCAGACCGCCAGCUAAGGUCCCAAAGUCAUGGUUAAGUGGGAAACGAUGUGGGAAGGCACAGACAGCCAGGAUGUUGGCUUAGAAGCAGCCAUCAUUUAAAGAAAGCGUAAUAGCUCACUGGUCGAGUCGGCCUGCGCGGAAGAUGUAACGGGGCUAAACCAUGCACCGAAGCUGCGGCAGCGACACUAUGUGUUGUUGGGUAGGGGAGCGUUCUGUAAGCCUGCGAAGGUGACCUGUGAGGGUUGCUGGAGGUAUCAGAAGUGCGAAUGCUGACAUAAGUAACGAUAAAGCGGGUGAAAAGCCCGCUCGCCGGAAGACCAAGGGUUCCUGUCCAACGUUAAUCGGGGCAGGGUGAGUCGACCCCUAAGGCGAGGCCGAAAGGCGUAGUCGAUGGGAAACAGGUUAAUAUUCCUGUACUUGGUGUUACUGCGAAGGGGGGACGGAGAAGGCUAUGUUAGCCGGGCGACGGUUGUCCCGGUUUAAGCAUGUAGGCUGAUUGUCCAGGCAAAUCCGGAUAAUCAAGGCUGAGGUGUGAUGACGAGGCACUACGGUGCUGAAGUAACAAAUGCCCUGCUUCCAGGAAAAGCCUCUAAGCAUCAGGUAACAUUAAAUCGUACCCCAAACCGACACAGGUGGUCAGGUAGAGAAUACCAAGGCGCUUGAGAGAACUCGGGUGAAGGAACUAGGCAAAAUGGUGCCGUAACUUCGGGAGAAGGCACGCUGGUGUGUAGGUGAAGUCCCUGCGGAUGGAGCUGAGACCAGUCGAAGAUACCAGCUGGCUGCAACUGUUUAUUAAAAACACAGCACUGUGCAAACACGAAAGUGGACGUAUACGGUGUGACGCCUGCCCGGUGCCGGAAGGUUAAUUGAUGGGGUUAUCCGUAAGGAGAAGCUCUUGAUCGAAGCCCCGGUAAACGGCGGCCGUAACUAUAACGGUCCUAAGGUAGCGAAAUUCCUUGUCGGGUAAGUUCCGACCUGCACGAAUGGCGUAAUGAUGGCCAGGCUGUCUCCACCCGAGACUCAGUGAAAUUGAACUCGCUGUGAAGAUGCAGUGUACCCGCGGCAAGACGGAAAGACCCCGUGAACCUUUACUAUAGCUUGACACUGAACAUUGAGCCUUGAUGUGUAGGAUAGGUGGGAGGCUUUGAAGCGUGGACGCCAGUCUGCGUGGAGCCAACCUUGAAAUACCACCCUUUAAUGUUUGAUGUUCUAACGUUGGCCCCUUACCGGGGUUGCGGACAGUGUCUGGUGGGUAGUUUGACUGGGGCGGUCUCCUCCCAAAGCGUAACGGAGGAGCACGAAGGUUAGCUAAUCCUGGUCGGACAUCAGGAGGUUAGUGCAAUGGCAUAAGCUAGCUUGACUGCGAGCGUGACGGCGCGAGCAGGUGCGAAAGCAGGUCAUAGUGAUCCGGUGGUUCUGAAUGGAAGGGCCAUCGCUCAACGGAUAAAAGGUACUCCGGGGAUAACAGGCUGAUACCGCCCAAGAGUUCAUAUCGACGGCGGUGUUUGGCACCUCGAUGUCGGCUCAUCACAUCCUGGGGCUGAAGUAGGUCCCAAGGGUAUGGCUGUUCGCCAUUUAAAGUGGUACGCGAGCUGGGUUUAGAACGUCGUGAGACAGUUCGGUCCCUAUCUGCCGUGGGCGCUGGAGAAUUGAGGGGGGCUGCUCCUAGUACGAGAGGACCGGAGUGGACGCAUCACUGGUGUUCGGGUUGUCAUGCCAAUGGCACUGCCCGGUAGCUAAAUGCGGAAGAGAUAAGUGCUGAAAGCAUCUAAGCACGAAACUUGCCCCGAGAUGAGUUCUCCCUGAGACUUUAAGUCUCCUGAAGGAACGUUAAAGACGAUGACGUUGAUAGGCCGGGUGUGUAAGCGCAGCGAUGCGUUGAGCUAACCGGUACUAAUGAACCGUGAGGCUUAACCUUACAACGCCGAAG